GCGGUAGCUACACCAGACUGGUUGGUGAGAGCGGAUUAUCUCAAUUCUCUUGCCUCUGGGGCAAUGUUUGCUCACCAGCCAGAGAAGCUAACUGAGGCUAUUCUGGGUGUUGUCACUGGUAAAUUAUAAUGAUGGGGACAUCAUUUGUUGGGGAGGGGAAGUGUGUGGCAGGUAUGAAGUCAUGUAAGGUUUGGUUCGUUUGAAGUUGUCAUUGUUUAUAGUUUUAACGCAAGCAGUAUCAUUUUUAAGCGUUAGUCUAUGGUUAUUUUUAGAUCUUGCCUAGUCCAUUACGGGUAUAAGGGGUGUCAAGAGAUUGUGUCAUCGCUUGUGUUGUGCCCUUUGACUUGCUUGGCCCCUUGUGUUGAUUGGUUCUUUUAAAACACUAAACAUUACUUGCACGUCAGCCAUUGCACUUCACUUCAAUCCGAUCGCAGUUCAGAGCAUAAAACAACUAACACGUCCGAUCUAAAGGGUGUCUGUCAAUAAAGAAUAGAUCUCACAACCCGUAA
This is a long non-coding RNA of Haliotis rubra (blacklip abalone), 509 nucleotides long. RefSeq lists it as uncharacterized. NCBI's taxonomy places the organism in Eukaryota, Metazoa, Mollusca, Gastropoda, Lepetellida, Haliotidae. The transcript has 2 exons. The record is from RefSeq and is a predicted model, not a curated record.